RNAcentral lists this unclassified non-coding RNA (2062 nucleotides) under Hevea brasiliensis (rubber tree). Lineage: Eukaryota; Viridiplantae; Streptophyta; Magnoliopsida; Malpighiales; Euphorbiaceae. The record is from RNAcentral.
AUAAUCUUGCCAUGCCAAAAUCUGCGAUCUUUGCAUUCAUCUCUUCAUCUAAUAAAAUGUUACCAGCUUUGAGAUCACGGUGAAUAAUCCGAAGUCGAGAAUCUUCAUGAAGGUAAAGAAGACCUCGAGCAAUGCCUGAGAUAAUUUUGUAGCGUGUCUCCCAAUCCAAAUGUGCUCUCUUGACUGGGUCAAAUAUGAAGUUGUUGAGGCUGGAGUUAGGCACAAACUCAUAGACAAGAAGCCUUUCUUCCAUUUCAAAGCAGAAACCCCGUAGUCUAACCAAAUUCUUGUGCUGAAGCUUGGCCACCAAUAUGACCUCAUUCUUAAAUUCUAGUUCUCCCUGUGCUGAUUCCCUGGACAACCUCUUCACAGCUAUAUCUUGUCCAUUGGGAAGCCUACCCUUGUACACAGUCCCAAAUCCACCCUGUCCAAGCUUAUUAGCUUCUGAGAAGUCAUUUGUUGCUGUUCUCACAGUGUCAAAGUCAAAUUGCAAGGAUUCCGCAUCUCCAAUUUCAUAAUCAUCUAUAGCUUUGAAUUCUUCCUUUUUGUUCCUUGCUUUAUAGAAGAUGAAUAGGCAAAUUGUAAGAAUUGCAGAAAUUGCUAUUGCGACAACUACAAUGAUGACAGUACGUGAUUCUUUUCUCUUCCUUCCUGCAAAAAACAUAAAUUUAAUUUGUUCAGUGUUGAAAUUGCUGGUUUGGUCUUAAAACUGGAAACAGAGCAAUGUUGACAUAGCGAAAUCACAGAGAUUUUUUUAUAACAUUAACAAGUCCUUGGCUAUGCUUCAACGUGGAACUUAUUGGCAACUGUUGAAGUUGAUCCUGCAGGUGGAGGUGAUGGGGGCGGAAUAUUCUCAGGAGUGUAGAAACGGUCUGUCUCAUAUCUGAAAUUACAGCUUGGGAAGAUAACUCUUCCUCCACUUCUAACCUCACAACACUGUGGAAUAAGUCCUGAAGCAUUAUACAGGCAAUCUCUGCAUUCAGACUCGGUUAAAUCAGGGGUACACUGUACAAGUGCAUAUAUGGUUUGAAAGUUGGGGGCAGCAAUUUGGUCCAUUGCGUACUUGUAAGGAGAAUUUGCAGCUUUGUCCCGUAGGCUGUCUAACAAGGUCGACCUUGACCGAUUGAACCCGCUUACGUCGGUGACAUUAAUCUCUCUAUACACCCAAAAGUAAGGUACCUUUUCCAUUAGUCUGAAAAUGAAGCGGUUUGCGUAGCGCACCAUACAAUAAUCUUGCCCUCCAAUGGCCUCCUUAAAGUUUGGACAGAGCGUGAGGAGGGAAUUACUGGCAUUUUUUAUACAGGCACGGCAAGCUUGAGGAUUAACGUCUGGCCUACAGAGAGCAAUAGCAUUAACAACGUCAGGAUCUUGUCCAUACGAGAAAUUGUAGAACCCGUUGUCUAUUUCAGUGUUGGUGUAGAUGGAAGUGAGGAGGCGAUUGAGGUUUGCUUGGUAGGUACUGUUAGUGGAGUAGAUACCCUUGUCUGCAGUGCAAUUGUAGUAUAACAUUUUAGGCAGAGGCUGAGCUAAAGUGAGAGCCAAGAAAUGAAUGGCAAGAGGACAAAGAAAGAAAAGAAACGUAGAAAAAGCCAUAUUCUUUGUGUUAUCCUGCCUUUCUAAAUCUCGCAGAUAGAAUGUAUAUAGAUUGGGUUAGCAAUCCUUUAGCUUCCCUUGUUUUUGCUCCUAGGUCCGCAAACUCUUGUGCUGACUGAGUUGCUGUAAAAACUAGAUUGGGCUUAUUAUUUCAAGGGUGGGUUUCUAAUCCUCCCCAGCAACUUGCUGCUUUGUUGUAUAAGGAUUGUCCUGUUUCUCUUGGUUAAUGAAUUUUCAUAUUUGGGGUAAAAAAGGAUAGAAUGUAAACAGGCAGGUAUGUGUAUAUGAAAUCCAUUGCACACCUUAUCUAGGAAGAAUGAUAUAAAGAUGGGUAAUGAGUUGCCUUCCUUAGACUUGUGCAAUCAAACUCGGUCACGGUGUAAACUUUCCUAACAAAAAUGGAUUACAGGUGGUGAUGAGUAAUCUAUCAACUUGAGAAAGGGGGAUUUUGCAUAACAGUGAAGAAAAA